AUCCAGCUGACGAGUCCCAAAUAGAACUAAACGUGCGUCCUGGAU
Molecule: non-coding RNA, 45 nt
Organism: Schistosoma mattheei
Lineage: Eukaryota; Metazoa; Platyhelminthes; Trematoda; Strigeidida; Schistosomatidae
Source: Rfam